AAAUCAAGCAUGAAAAACCACAUAUUAUUCAUGAACCCUCCAUGGCUGAAUUUUUCCAAGAGAAAAUGUUGAGGAUGAUUUUGCUAUAAUUCAUGUUAUCUAGCUUAUAUUUGAUGAUUUGGAGUAUUGGAAGUGAAAUGAAUUUAUUUGGAGUUGAAUUGGAUAUUUUGGCCAUUUAAUCGGCGUAUAGUGUGAAUAAGGUCAAUACCAUUUCAGCCCCAUACACAAUUGAACCUACGUAGAACACCGUAUUUAGAUAUUAAUCCGAACAUUUCACAUCCCAUUUCAUGCAUUCAUGUAGAGUCUAAAUUAGUUUUAUAACGGUUUAGCACAAAUAUAGUAAAUUGCUUGUUGUGCAUUAUGUCUAGGUGGUGAAACUUCCGAUAAGGGUAAGGAGAUUGUACCCGAAGAUCGGGAUUAGGAGUACCUCGAUUCUCGAUAUUGUGAGUAACCUUAUUAUCGUCUUAAUUAUCUAAAGUAGUUUUUAUUCGUUUUUGUGAUUUUAUAGAAAAUGAGUUUAAAUGGUAAAUCCUUAUGUUUUAUAAGUAAAACGUGAUUAAAUGAAAUGAGUUUUAUAAAUCAUUUUGAAAUUGAAUGAUGAUUUUAGAAAUUGAGUAAUUAGAGAUUGUUUGUUUGUGUUGUAAAUUUAUGGUUUGAAUUGAAUGGCUUAUGGUGAUAUUGGCAUGAAUGGCUGAAUUGGAAAUUGUGUUGAAAUUGUAUGAACUGUUUGUUUUGCCUUAACAGGCUGGAUAGUAAUAUAAUUGCCAUGUCAUACUGUCGAAACUUUUAUUGAUUUGGUGGGAUAUUAAUUAGUCACUGUAGUGGCGGGUUUCCGUGGACCAGCCCAUUAGAGAGGGGCACGGUGAACCUAGUUAUAUUUUACCUUGGUACGAGAGGCGCGGAGGGUAUCUCCUGAGGUAAAGCUUUAGAGUUCACUUCACGUCAAACCAUCAUGUGAGGGUGAACUCAGCCAACGCCAAGGAACGACUAUGUUUUAAAAUGUACAAAUACAAUUUAUGGAUAUAUAUCUUUUCUUUAACAGCCUUGGCGGACUCGGUUGGAUGCCUCUUAUCAAGGUAUCCCAGAGAAUGAGUUUUGGCACGAGCCAAGUUUUUAAAAAAUUCAUAAGCCAUGUUGAUUAUUUGAGUGAAAUGAAUUUAUUUUAUUUAGUUGAAAUGAGUUUAAAACGUUAUGAAUCACAGUACGAUGAACUAUUUUAAGUUGUCUCCAUUUACCCGACUUUAGAUAUUUUAGAUGAUGUUUGUUUACUCACUGAGUUUAUAUAAACUCACCACCCUCCUUUCCACUCAUUCCAGGCUCAGGACAGUCAGUAAAUAGCUGAUUACGUCAAGGGUUAUUAUUGGACUCGCCUCCUAAAAAAUUGUUGGUCCACAGCCUUUGUUACCUUUGGUCAUUCGGAGACCCACACGUCAUUGUAAAUUAAAUUACAUACUCUGGUUAUCUGUGUUACCGUAUAUAUGAAUUUAUUUUGCUUUUACGCAGUAAAAAUUAUUCACGUAUCGUUUUAUAAAUAUUGUUUUAUAAGAAAAUAGAAUAUUUUAUUCAAUAUUUUUAUUUUAUUCUAUUAGCUACGAUUUCACUCUAAAUGAAUGUUUUAGACAUAGAAACUUGUUUUUAGUUAUGAAAUGUGUAUUGUCCUCCAUGUGUUAUAUUUUCAGCAGGUUUCAAAAUUUUUGAGAAAAAUGACCAAAAUGCCCCUGUGAGACAGAAAGUAUGUUUUUUAUUAUUGUUUCGAUUUGGAAAUAGCUUAUAAUCUUUUAAAAUAUGAUGUUUAGUAAUUAUUGCUCACAGGGGAGGUGCGAAAACUGAUAUUAAGCCUUGCGAGGUUUCGAUUUUCGAGUAAUGAAUGUCUAUUGGGACAUCACGGCGGUUGUCACUGGCUCGAAGGGAGUACUGGGUCAUGACAAUUUGAAUGGUACAAGAUGAGGUGCUAAAAACUAUUACAAAGAUUAGAGUGGAACACAAGAAGAAUGGAGAGGAUUUUCGCUACGUUGGGCUCUUUUUGUUCUUGGAAGCAUCUCAUAUCCUUCUUAGCCAUUGAAGAUGUCUUUUAUACUUGAGAAAUCAACUUUGAUGGAUGGUGAUAGCUUUUGUCUGUUGGAAACAGUUUAAAAUCCUUUCUAGUCGUUAGUUGGUCUUCAAACAUUCAAAAUCAAAUUUCUGACAGUGAGCUUUUAGUUGGUUAACAAUACUUCUUAGUCAAUUAUGUCUUCUUUAUCUCACAGUUUGUUUUACUUCGUUAAUCGGUUAAGAAAGACUUUAACUGAUUAAGAGCUUACUGUUUCUGGAGCAACGAACUUCACCAACUUUUCUUUGUUUGAAUGAUUCUUCUUUUAGCUUGUUAACACUGAUCUUCCUUUACCUUUAUUCUUCGCAAAUGACUGCCUUCUCUUUAGAUCUUCACUUUUGGAUUUUAGUUGACUAACUCCCUUGGUUAACCGAUUAAAAGGCUUUUCCUUGUAAUUCAUUUUAUGACUUUUUGUUCUGAUGAGUUUUGA
RNAcentral lists this long non-coding RNA (2519 nucleotides) under Theobroma cacao (cacao). RNAcentral describes it as "long non-coding RNA (TCAC_LNC001738)". The record is from RNAcentral. Lineage: Eukaryota; Viridiplantae; Streptophyta; Magnoliopsida; Malvales; Malvaceae.